Molecule: ribosomal RNA, 253 nt
Filed under: uncultured bacterium
Lineage: Bacteria
Description: partial 16S ribosomal RNA
Rfam family: Bacterial small subunit ribosomal RNA
Source: RNAcentral
UACGUAGGGUGCAAGCGUUAUCCGGAAUUAUUGGGCGUAAAGAGCUCGUAGGCGGUUUGUCGCGUCUGCUGUGAAAACCGGAGGCUCAACCUCCGGCCUGCAGUGGGUACGGGCAGACUAGAGUGCGGUAGGGGAGAUUGGAAUUCCUGGUGUAGCGGUGGAAUGCGCAGAUAUCAGGAGGAACACCGAUGGCGAAGGCAGAUCUCUGGGCCGUAACUGACGCUGAGACGCGAAAGCGUGGGGAGCAAACAGG